GUCUACAGCCAUGCCACCUUGAACAAGCCUGAUCCUGUCUGAUCUUGGAAGCUAAGCAGGGUCAGGCCUGGUUAGUAAUUGGAUAGGAGACCACCUAAGAAGACCAGGUGCUGUAGGCA
Molecule: ribosomal RNA, 119 nt
Filed under: Pteropus alecto (black flying fox)
Lineage: Eukaryota; Metazoa; Chordata; Mammalia; Chiroptera; Pteropodidae
Also listed under: 1 other name
Source: RNAcentral